This 25-nucleotide non-coding RNA is filed under the name Mus musculus (house mouse). The record is from RNAcentral. Lineage: Eukaryota; Metazoa; Chordata; Mammalia; Rodentia; Muridae. RNAcentral also lists the same sequence under 1 other name.
UGAAAUCAAUUUCAUGGGCUGCAAC